This 253-nucleotide ribosomal RNA is filed under the name uncultured bacterium. Its description in RNAcentral is "partial 16S ribosomal RNA". It matches the Rfam family "Bacterial small subunit ribosomal RNA", at positions 524 to 776 of the family's 1533-position model. The record is from RNAcentral.
UACGGGGGGGGCAAGCGUUGUUCGGAAUUACUGGGCGUAAAGGGCUCGUAGGCGGCCAACUAAGUCAGACGUGAAAUCCCCAGGCUCAACCUGGGAACUGCGUCUGAUACUGGAUGGCUUGAAUCCGGGAGAGGGAUGCAGAAUUCCAGGUGUAGCGGUGAAAUGCGUAGAUAUCUGGAGGAAUACCGGUGGCGAAGGCGGCAUCCUGGACCGAUACUGACGCUGAGGAGCGAAAGCGUGGGGAGCGAACAGG